GCUUCAAUCCAAUAAAUAUAAUUUUUCAUGUCUUAUUAACCAUAUAUAUAAGCCAACAAGAAGAGGACCAACACUGCAUCAUCCAGCAGUACAAAAAGUUAUAUCUAUUGUACUUUGAGGAGGACCAACGCUGCAUCAAAUAAUUGUACUAAAAGUAAUAUGAAUUGUACCCUAAAUUUGGGCCCAUUUUAUUUCUUUCUUCUCUUGCUUAACCACGUGUCUAUGCAUGUAAAUUCAAUCUUUCUUCUCUUCUUCUAUUUCAGUUCUGUUUUCUUAAUUUCCUCUCACUAUUUAAUUUUCUUUCUCUGCCAAAUUGAUGCAUUCGUUUGCUCCAAAGUGGUCCUUCUUCAACAUUGGUGGAAUCUUUUGAAUGUGUUACGUUUUUCUUUUCUCAUCAGUUUAUUUUUUUGAAAAUUUUAUGCCUCUUUUAUAUUGAAACAAUUGGAUCGGGUAAUUUUGUUUAAGGUGUUUCUUCAAUUGAUGAUUUGAGAAUAAUUAUAUCCAUUAUUUGCUCAUUAUUUUUCAUGACCUCUUAUUGUUUGAAGUUUCUUGAAUUUUGUAUUUUUCAUGAGAUUUGGGAUUGUGACAUGACUAUUCAAAGUUACUGCAUGUAAGUAUUUCGUCAAUUUUUGCUUAUUUUCUAUUUGGAAUUGAAAAGUCAAGAGGAGGUCGUUUUCGCCGGCUUGAGCAACAACAAUUUCACGACGCUGUUCCUCCAGUAGGGCGGUUGAUCAUCGUUAACUUUGAUUUUCUCUUUGGAGGUUUUAGGAACUGUUAAAAUGGGUAUGGGCUAUUCACCUUCUGUUUUGUUUACCACUGUGGAGGUUUACUCUAUAUUAGAGACUGUCAAGAAUAUGGAAAAGAGUAUUAAACAAGUCUUGGAGUAGAUUUGCUUAAAAUUUGAGAUCUACAUAUAUGUGAACUCUAUGAACCUGGUGAAUUUAGUACUAAAUAGAUUUCUUGAAAAUUUUGGACAUGAAUUGCUAUUCCUGGAAGUUUACAGGACUCUCUUUGAAUCUUUGUUUAAAAUUUGAGACCUACAUAUAUGUGAAAACUUUAUGAACUUGGUGACUUUAAUACUAAAUAUAUUACCUGCUUUUUGGAAAGGGAUAGUUCGUGGUUAAGCCUUUUGAUGUUUACUGCAGUGUGAUGUUGAGAGAAGUGUAGGAUGUGGGAUAAGGUUUUAUUUAAGACUAAGUUGUUCGAACUCUUCACUUUCGGUGCUGCAUGGUGUCGACAUGACAUGGGUGUGGGGGGGAUCCAGGAUUCAUAUUAUAUAAAAGAUUUUGUAAGAAAGAGAAAUGUUAAGAAAUAUCACAAUAACUCGGCAACAAACAUUCAGAAAUUAUAAUGAUGCACUUAAAUACCAAGAUUUAUACAAUGGCGAAACAAGGGAAUGAAAGGCCGCUUUGUGUUGGGUGCUCUUUAACCUCUCCAUGAUGAUGACCCGUUGUCUUGGGAUCAGAACCAUCCAAUGAAGAAUAAGAGAAGAGCAAAGCACCAAAUGGCAUACCCUGUUGAAUCCAUUGAAUCAUAUAGAAGCGGAUGUAGUGUUUACUUGAGCUCAAUAUUUUCACACGAAACGUAAAUAUACCUGUUAAAUUACUAAAAUUUCAACAAACAUCAAACUCUAAACUCAUAAUUUCAACAAUAAAAUAAGCACUUAAGACAUUGAUAAUGCUGAUGUUGUGUUUUCAUUUGCUUAGGGAACUUUUACUCAUCAAGAUUUUGCUGGUCACAAGGGUACAAUCAAUACUGGUGAUGUGCAGUGGAUGACAGCAGGAAGAGGUAUAAUUCACUCUGAAAUGCCUGCAGGAGAAGGCAGUCAAAAAGGGUUGCAACUUUGGAUAAAUCUCUCUUCUAAGGACAAAAUAUAAGUUAUUUUCACCAGCUGUCUUCUCUUUUCUACAGUCCAUUGUAAACUUACAAUUAUAGGAAACUUUUAGUCUUAUAAUUCCUUUUGACCUAUGUCGCUCGAACUCUUUGAAAGUGCUGGUGUACCUGUGUCAGACCUCCAAAGAUGCACUACUGUUGGAGGAUUCGACACGCACCCGUUAGCAUUUUUAAAGAGUCUAAGCAACACAACUUUUGACCUGACCCCCUAUAUAUACUUCACACACCACUACUUUAUUGCACUUUAGCAUUUAGUAGUAAAAAUAAUGGUUACCCUUUGUCACCACUGUUUCUUUACAUGCUAAAGGACAUGAAUCAACUAUUUUUGUAGGACAAAAGAACUUCAGUAGAAGUAGGCAAAGGUGGAGUAAACGAGCACGCCGGAAAGGGUCAUCACUCUGGCAGCGGGACAAACGUCAACAUUGGUCAUAAAGGCGUUGGUGUUCACACUUGAAAGGGUAGCUCCAUUAAUGGUACAAACGUCAACGUUGGUCACGAAGACGUCAACGCAAACACCUCGCGUGGAACUCAUGUUGGCGUUGGCAAAGGAGGAGUUGGUGUCACUACCCAUGGCCACAAAGGAAAGUCGCCCGUCUAUGUCGGCAUAGGCAAAGGAAAUUCACCUUUUGUUUAUAAUUAUGCAGCUAAAGAUGAUUAACUUAAUGAUAAUCCCAAUUUGCACCAAGGGAGGAAAAUGAAGCUGCAGUUUGAGGAAAAUGAAGCUGCAGUUUGUGAAAACUGCAAAUGGUAUUGCUUUCUUGCCUCGUCAAGUAGCAGAUUCUAUUUCGUUUGUUCAAACAAAAUUUCGAAAAUUCUUAACCAGUUUUCUAUUGAUCUAAACUCUGAAGAGGCUCAAGCAAUGAAACAGUCUGUCCAAGAAUCUGAAGAGCCAGGUAUACAUAGUAAUAUCAUAAAUUUUCUUAAUAAUAUAAAAACAAUUUAACCAUUAUAGUGUAGUAGAAUAUUAUCUGUCUAUUUGUGCUGCUUUUAUCUCUUCUCCACCAUCGACCUCCGUCUGUCCCAAUUCCCUCCAGAAAAAGUGAAAACAUGUUGGCCAUUCAGACGUUUUUCCUUCAAGUCUCUGUAUCAGUUCUCCUUUCUUCUCAUUCAUCAGUCACCACUAGGUGCCGCAAAGUUUUCGUUAAAUUCACCAUCUUAUGUUGGUCGGAGGCAUCUCCUUUGACUAUUGUGAGCGGUAAUGUGGAUAAGAAACCUUAUGAUAGAACCGAAGUUUGACUCGGCUUGCCUAGGAAAGGCCAAUGGCUACUGACUCUCUCGAUCUUCUCAAGGUAUACAAAUUCCUACGCCGAUUUUCCUUGUAAACUACAAUUAAAUACUGAAUUUUACUUGUUUAUCUUUUUGUUGGUUAAUUACAUGAUUGUCAGCUAUCAGUUAAGCAGGUGAAUCACGAUAGUAUGUUGCAGAAAUUCCACAGGUAUGUGGUGUUUGUGCUUUUCUGAAAUCUGGCUUUAAUAUAUUGUUAAUUAUUUUGGUUGCUAUCAGUUUCAGCUCCUCAUGUCAGACUCUACGAGUUAAGAAUAGAAAACAACAUGUAUCCUGUUGUUUUUUUACUGGGUCAUGAAAAGAUGACUCUACCUAUUGAUGAGCUGAUUGAAAAAGCAGAAGAGUCUUGCUGGUGUUUUUCCUGUCAAGGGUUGUGGUCCAGAUUUACCUUUGGCUGCUAAGAUUAUUUUUAAGCCUACUAUUUGGUAAUGAUGUUUAAUCAAGUGUUAAAGCAAAAUAAAUAUGAACAUAAUUUAGUUUGGAAAAAUUCUUCAUUCUUGUGAUUCAUUUUUCUUUAGCCUACAGUGCGCUACCUAUCCUUUUUACUUCUUCUGCCUUUCUUUAGGUUCUUUCGAAUGGUAAUAGUAAUUUUUUUGUUUCUAUUGUUCCGAAGAAGAAUUGCAAGAAGACGCAUGACUUGGUUGCUGGUUCAUGGAAUUAGUUACAGUAUCAAAGAUUAAUAUUGGAGUACGUAGUAGGUAGAAAUUGCAUAUAGUAUUACAUGUACUGAACAUAUCAUGUUGUGUAAUAAAUAAUGUUCUACCUUUUCUUUGAUGAUGAUUAUAGAAUCUGGUAACUACGUUUCCUUCCC
Molecule: long non-coding RNA, 3988 nt
Organism: Capsicum annuum
Lineage: Eukaryota; Viridiplantae; Streptophyta; Magnoliopsida; Solanales; Solanaceae
Exons: 2
Source: RefSeq, a predicted model, not a curated record